UACAGAGGGGGCAAGCGUUGUUCGGAAUUACUGGGCGUAAAGGGCGCGUAGGCGGCCUGUUAAGUCGAACGUGAAAUCCCCGGGCCCAACCCGGGAACUGCGUCCGAUACUGGCAGGCUUGAAUCCGGGAGAGGGAUGUGGAAUUCCAGGUGUAGCGGUGAAAUGCGUAGAUAUCUGGAGGAACACCGGUGGCGAAGGCGACAUCCUGGACCGGUAUUGACGCUGAGGCGCGAAAGCCAGGGGAG
This 245-nucleotide ribosomal RNA is filed under the name uncultured bacterium. Its description in RNAcentral is "partial 16S ribosomal RNA". It matches the Rfam family "Bacterial small subunit ribosomal RNA", at positions 524 to 768 of the family's 1533-position model. The record is from RNAcentral.